AUCCAACUGACAAGUCCCAAAUAGGACAAGACGCACGUCUAAACUGGAU
This 49-nucleotide non-coding RNA is filed under the name Schistosoma margrebowiei. Lineage: Eukaryota; Metazoa; Platyhelminthes; Trematoda; Strigeidida; Schistosomatidae. The record is from RNAcentral.